This 436-nucleotide ribosomal RNA is filed under the name uncultured bacterium. RNAcentral describes it as "bacterial SSU rRNA". It matches the Rfam family "Bacterial small subunit ribosomal RNA", at positions 958 to 1392 of the family's 1533-position model. The record is from RNAcentral.
AACGCGAAGAACCUUACCAAGGCUUGACAUGUGCCAGACCGCCGUGGAAACACGGUUUCCCCUUUGGGGCUGGUUCACAGGUGGUGCAUGGUUGUCGUCAGCUCGUGUCGUGAGAUGUUGGGUUAAGUCCCGCAACGAGCGCAACCCUCGUUCCAUGUUGCCAGCGCGUAAAGGCGGGGACUCAUGGGAGACUGCCGGGGUCAACUCGGAGGAAGGUGGGGACGACGUCAAAUCAUCAUGCCCCUUAUGUCUUGGGCUUCACGCAUGCUACAAUGGCCGGUACAAAGGGCUGCGAUACCGCGAGGUGGAGCGAAUCCCAAAAAGCCGGUCUCAGUUCGGAUUGGGGUCUGCAACUCGACCCCAUGAAGUCGGAGUCGCUAGUAAUCGCAGAUCAGCAACGCUGCGGUGAAUACGUUCCCGGGCCUUGUACACACCG